This 142-nucleotide unclassified non-coding RNA is filed under the name uncultured Helotiales. RNAcentral's name for it is "sequence contains ITS2". Lineage: Eukaryota; Fungi; Ascomycota; Leotiomycetes; Helotiales. The record is from RNAcentral.
GACCGAUCAAGCCUGGCUUGGUAUUAGAGUUCGCACUUCAGCGGCUCCUAAACUCAGUGGCGGUGCCGUUAGGCUCUAAGCGUAGUAAUACUCCUCGCUAUAGGGUUCUUGCGGUUGCUUGCCAUAACCCAAAUUUUUCUGG